RNAcentral lists this transfer RNA (61 nucleotides) under Yanocephalus yanonis. RNAcentral describes it as "tRNA-Arg". Lineage: Eukaryota; Metazoa; Arthropoda; Insecta; Hemiptera; Cicadellidae. The record is from RNAcentral.
AACAAAGAAGUAAAAUUUACACUUAGUUUCGACCUAAGAUUAAAGGAGAACCUUCAUGUUU